AUUAGUGGCGAACGGGUGAGUAACACGUGAGUAACCUUCCCUUGACUCUGGGAUAAGCCUGGGAAACUGGGUCUAAUACCGGAUAUGACCAUUGGCCGCAUGGCCUGGUGGUGGAAAGCUUUUGUGGUUUUGGAUGGACUCGCGGCCUAUCAGCUUGUUGGUGAGGUAAUGGCUCACCAAGGCGACGACGGGUAGCCGGCCUGAGAGGGUGACCGGCCACACUGGGACUGAGACACGGCCCAGACUCCUACGGGAGGCAGCAGUGGGGAAUAUUGCACAAUGGGCGCAAGCCUGAUGCAGCGACGCCGCGUGAUGGAUGAAGGCCUUCGGGUUGUAAACAUCUUUCAGUAGGGAAGAAGCGAAAGUGACGGUACCUGCAGAAGAAGCGCCGGCUAACUACGUGCCAGCAGCCGCGGUAAUACGUAGGGCGCAAGCGUUAUCCGGAAUUAUUGGGCGUAAAGAGCUCGUAGGCGGUUUGUCGCGUCUGCUGUGAAAGCCCGGGGCUCAACCCCGGGUCUGCAGUGGGUACGGGCAGACUAGAGUGCAGUAGGGGAGACUGGAAUUCCUGGUGUAGCGGUGAAAUGCGCAGAUAUCAGGAGGAACACCGAUGGCGAAGGCAGGUCUCUGGGCUGUAACUGACGCUGAGGAGCGAAAGCAUGGGGAGCGAACAGGAUUAGAUACCCUGGUAGUCCAUGCCGUAAACGUUGGGCACUAGGUGUGGGGGACAUUCCACGUUUUCCGCGCCGUAGCUAACGCAUUAAGUGCCCCGCCUGGGGAGUACGGCCGCAAGGCUAAAACUCAAAGGAAUUGACGGGGGCCCGCACAAGCGGCGGAGCAUGCGGAUUAUUUCGAUGCAACGCGAAGACCCUUACCAAGGCUUGACAUGAACCGGAAACGUCUGGAACCAGGCGCCCCACUUGUGGUCGGUUUACAGGUGGUGCAUGGUGGUCGUCAGCUCGUGUCGUGAGAUGUUGGGUUAAGUCCCGCAACGAGCGCAACCCUCGUUCCAUGUUGCCAGCGCGUUAGGGCGGGGAUUCAUGGGAGACUGCCGGGGUCAAUGGGAGGAAGGGGGGGAGGACGUCAAAUCAUCAUGCCCCUUAUUUCUUGGGCUUCACGCUUGUUACAAUGGCCGGUACAAAGGGUUGGGAUACUGUGAGGGGGAGUUAAUCCCAAAAAGCCGGUUUCAGUUCGGAUUGGGGUCUGCAAUUGGACCCCAUGAAGUGGGAGUCGUUAGUAAUCGCAGAUCAGCAACGUUGCGGGGAAUACGUUCCCGGCCCUUGUACACACCGCCCGUCAAGU
Molecule: ribosomal RNA, 1299 nt
Filed under: Arthrobacter sp.
Lineage: Bacteria; Bacillati; Actinomycetota; Actinomycetes; Micrococcales; Micrococcaceae
Description: bacterial SSU rRNA
Rfam family: Bacterial small subunit ribosomal RNA
Source: RNAcentral